AUACGAUCAUAUACCAGUACUAAUGCACCGGAUCCCAUUAAAACUCCGAAGUUAAACGUGCUUGAGCGAUAGUAGUACUAAAAUAUCGAUUUAUCAUAUU
This 100-nucleotide ribosomal RNA is filed under the name Ricinus communis (castor bean). Lineage: Eukaryota; Viridiplantae; Streptophyta; Magnoliopsida; Malpighiales; Euphorbiaceae. The record is from RNAcentral.